GCCGGCGUAGCUCAGUUGGUAGAGCAGCGGUUUCGUAAACCGCAGGUCGCUGGUUCGAUUCCAGUCGCCGGCUCCA
This 76-nucleotide transfer RNA is filed under the name Nitrospira sp. RNAcentral's name for it is "tRNA-Thr". It matches the Rfam family "tRNA". Rfam says of the family: Transfer RNA (tRNA) molecules are approximately 80 nucleotides in length. The record is from RNAcentral. Lineage: Bacteria; Pseudomonadati; Nitrospirota; Nitrospiria; Nitrospirales; Nitrospiraceae. RNAcentral also lists the same sequence under 4 other names.